GGGGAUUUAGCUCAGCAGCAUAAGUGCCUGCCUUGCAAGCAGGCAGUCGUGAGUUUGUACUCAUACAAACCCUU
Transfer RNA from Cavia porcellus (domestic guinea pig), 74 nucleotides. It matches the Rfam family "tRNA". Rfam says of the family: Transfer RNA (tRNA) molecules are approximately 80 nucleotides in length. Their secondary structure includes four short double-helical elements and three loops (D, anti-codon, and T loops). Lineage: Eukaryota; Metazoa; Chordata; Mammalia; Rodentia; Caviidae. The record is from Rfam.